UGCUUUGGCGGCUCCGGCCGCCAAAGGACCUCCAAACUCCAGUCAGUAAACGCAGACGUCUGAUAAACAAGUUAAUAAACUAAAACUUUCAACAACGGAUCUCUUGGUUCUGGCAUCGAUGAAGAACGCAGCGAAAUGCGAUAAGUAAUGUGAAUUGCAGAAUUCAGUGAAUCAUCGAAUCUUUGAACGCACAUUGCGCCCCUUGGUAUUCCGGGGGGCAUGCCUGUUCGAGCGUCAUUACAACCCUCAAGCUCUGCUUGGAAUUGGGCACCGUCCUCACUGCGGACGCGCCUCAAAGACCUCGGCGGUGGCUGUUCAGCCCUCAAGCGUAGUAGAAUACACCUCGCUUUGGAGUGGUUGGCGUCGCCCGCCGGACGAACCUUCUGAACUUUUCUCAAGGUUGACCUCGGAUCAGGUAGGGAUACCCGCUGAACUUAAGCAUAUCAAUAAGCGGAGGAAAAGAAACCAACAGGGAUUGCCUUAGUAACGGCGAGUGAAGCGGCAACAGCUCAAAUUUGAAAGCUGGCCCUUUUAGGGUCCGCGUUGUAAUUUGUAGAGGAUGAUUCGGCGAGGGCUCCUGCCUAAGUCCCCUGGAACGGGGCGUCAUAGAGGGUGAGAAUCCCGUAUGCGGUAGGUUGCCUUAGCCAUGUGAAUCUCCUUCGACGAGUCGAGUUGUUUGGGAAUGCAGCUCUAAAUGGGAGGUAAAUUUCUUCUAAAGCUAAAUACUGGCCAGAGACCGAUAGCGCACAAGUAGAGUGAUCGAAAGAUGAAAAGCACUUUGGAAAGAGAGUUAAAAAGUACGUGAAAUUGUUGAAAGGGAAGCGCUUGCAACCAGACUUGUCCGCAGUUGCUCAGCCGGUCUCCUGACCGGCGUACUCUUCUGCGGCCAGGCCAGCAUCAGUUCGGGCGGUCGGAUAAAGGCCUCGGGAAU
This 931-nucleotide ribosomal RNA is filed under the name fungal sp. RNAcentral's name for it is "eukaryotic LSU rRNA". The stretch from base 402 to 931 matches the Rfam family "Eukaryotic large subunit ribosomal RNA", at positions 1 to 535 of the family's 3401-position model. Lineage: Eukaryota; Fungi. The record is from RNAcentral.